RNAcentral lists this ribosomal RNA (429 nucleotides) under Chloroflexota bacterium. RNAcentral's name for it is "Chloroflexi bacterium partial 16S ribosomal RNA". It matches the Rfam family "Bacterial small subunit ribosomal RNA", at positions 355 to 776 of the family's 1533-position model. Lineage: Bacteria; Bacillati; Chloroflexota. The record is from RNAcentral.
UGGGGAAUAUUGCACAAUGGGCGCAAGCCUGAUGCAGCCAUGCCGCGUGUAUGAAGAAGGCCUUCGGGUUGUAAAGUACUUUCAGCGGGGAGGAAGGGAGUAAAGUUAAUACCUUUGCUCAUUGACGUUACCCGCAGAAGAAGCACCGGCUAACUCCGUGCCAGCAGCCGCGGUAAUACGGAGGGUGCAAGCGUUAAUCGGAAUUACUGGGCGUAAAGCGCACGCAGGCGGUUUGUUAAGUCAGAUGUGAAAUCCCCGGGCUCAACCUGGGAACUGCAUCUGAUACUGGCAAGCUUGAGUCUCGUAGAGGGGGGUAGAAUUCCAGGUGUGGCGGUGAAAUGCGUAGAGAUCUGGAGGAAUACCGGUGGCGAAGGCGGCCCCCUGGACGAAGACUGACGAUCAGGUGCGAAAGCGUAGGGAGCAAACAGG